AACCAUCCCUUUUACUCUAGAUGACUGUAGGCCCCCAGCUAAGGAGACAAGAUAGACCAGAGCCCGGAAGGGAUCUCAAGAAGCACGAGAGGCCAGACCACUUUUGGCGCGCCUAAAUGACAACUUCCCACACUGGAAACCCUCAAGGGGAGAGAGUUAUCGCAGGGCACCUAGCUACUGCUGCAACUGGAAUCACCUGGACUAAGAUAAAGUUACCACUCAAGGUUUUCCACAGUGUUUUAACCAAAAAGUAGUGAUAACAUGACAAACUACAUCUCACAAAAUUGCUAGUCACAUUAAUAGAUCAGAAAAUCAUAGAAUUAAAAAGAACCUUUUUAGAAGAGUUAACCCCUUUAUUUUAUUUUUUUGAUUUUUAUUUAUUUAUUUUGAGAUGAAGUCUCACUCUGUCACCCAGGCUGGAGUGCAAUGGUGCCAUCUUGGCUCACCACAACCUCUCCCUCCUGGGUUCAAACUUACCUCCCACCUCAGCCUCCCAAGUAGCUGAGAUUACAAGCGGGUGCCAACACACCCAGCGAAUCUUUUGUAUUUUUAGUAGAGAUGGGGUUUCACCAUGUUGGCCAAGCUGGUCUCAAACUCCUGACCACAAGUGAUCCACCCGACUCGGCCUCCCAAAGUACUGGGAUUACAGGCACGAGGCGCGCAGAUCACCUAAGGUCGGGAGUUCAAGACCAGCCUGACCAACAUGGAGAAACCCGGUCUCCACUAAAAAUACAAAAAUUAGCCGGGCAUGGUGACACAUGCCUGUAAUCCCAGCUACUCAGGAGGCUGAGGCAGGAGAAUCGCUUGAACUGGGGAGGCGGAGGUUGCGGUGAGCCGAGAUCGUGCCAUUGCACUCCAGCCUGGGCAACAAGAGCAAAACUCCGUCUCAAAAAAAAAAAAAAAAAGUGAUAUAUGUAAAUUUCUCUCUGUCCCAAAGGAGCACCAGAAAUCUCCACAAGCCAGUUUGGAAAACAGGACUCUUGGAAAGGCCUGAGUAGAAUCACACAAAUUAAACAUCUCAACUGCUGAAAAAAGCCAGCUUCCACUGAGGACCAGGACAAAAACUGUGCCAUGAGGAAGGCACAGCAGGCAAGUCCCAGCCUUGGCUUCUGACAGAUAUUUGACAUGGCCAGAAGCAAAGUCUAUGAUCUAAACCUAUGAACUAUGGACUCUCUGGCAGGCCAGUUCACCUCUAUUUUCCUCUGGGUAGGAUCCCUUCUUGGUGCUUCUGGGAUCAGAGAUCAUCACCCCGAAGCAAGAAGCUCCCAAUGCACUUUGCAAUGCGGUGACAAGCCACAAGUGGUCACUUCUUCACAAUCAGCCCCCUACCCACAUUCUCUUCCUCUACUUUCCGGUAUGCCUCAGACUGAACUCACUUAAGUAUUCCCAAGUCAAAGACAAGAUUCUUCUCCCUUAUCCCCUCUCUAAGGCAAAGGAGUGACGAAAGAUUUACUUUCUGUCCACAGGAUCUCCCUGUCACAGCGCGCGCACGCGCGCGCGCGCACACACACACACACACACCCACACACACACAGGUGUGGAGAAGCCAGCCCACCCCAGGAAGGCCGGAAAAGCGAGUUCUGAAGUCUGUUCUAAGCUUGGGACAGCUCCCAGUCGGGGACAGCUCCCGGCCGGGGACAGCUCCCCUUUCUUCCCCUGGUUGAAGAGAGCUCUUGGUCGGGGACAGCUCCUGGUCCCGGACAGCUCCCGAGCGAGGCCCAAGCAGGGCCUGCCGCUCCUCUUCCCCCCAGCUCACUCUCACCUCGCAUUCUGGUACCGCCACUGCCACCUCCGCCACCGCCGCCAGUGGGGGAAUUGGGCCCCGCUGACUGUUUGCGCCAUCCCCGCCAGUUCUGGCAGAGGCUCUCGGCCUCGGAGAUGAAGGAACAGAGUGAAUCCUCCUCAAAACGGUCCGAAUCCUCGAAUGAGAAGCGCUCUCCGUCCUCCCACUCUGCAAACAUCAGCUCCAUGGGGCCCGCACCCCCCGGGGCCGGGUCCCCCCCCGCGGAUCCGGGGCCUGGGCCGCCGGCCGGGGGUUGAGGGGAGGCCCGGGGCCUGAGGGGCGAGCCGGGGCUGGGGGUGGCCGGGGCGCUCAGGGCGGCCGUGCCGGGCGAGAAUCUCAGGCCUGGGAAAGAGACGGGACCGGGCCUCGCCCAACAGCGCGGUGCAAGCGGUGAUCUUGGCCAGUCUCCGAGACUUAGGGCCGGGACGAAGCGCUCGGCGGCUGGGGCCUCUAGGCGGCUGCGGAGCCGCCUCCCCCAUCAGCUGAUCU
Molecule: long non-coding RNA, 2272 nt
Filed under: Homo sapiens (human)
Lineage: Eukaryota; Metazoa; Chordata; Mammalia; Primates; Hominidae
Description: non-protein coding lnc-NDST2-2:1
Source: RNAcentral